UACGCAGGGGGCUAGCGUUGUUCGGAAUCACUGGGCGUAAAGCGCACGCAGGCGGAUCGUUAAGUCAGGGGUGAAAUGCCGAGGCUCAACCUCGGAACUGCCUUUGAUACUGGCGAUCUUAGAGUCCGGGAGAGGUGAGUGGAACUCCGAGUGUAGAGGUGAAAUUCGUAGAUAUUCGGAAGAACACCAGUGGCGAAGGCGGCUCACUGGCCCGGUACUGACGCUCAGGUGCGAAAGCGUGGGGAGCAAACAGG
This 254-nucleotide ribosomal RNA is filed under the name uncultured bacterium. Its description in RNAcentral is "partial 16S ribosomal RNA". It matches the Rfam family "Bacterial small subunit ribosomal RNA", at positions 524 to 776 of the family's 1533-position model. The record is from RNAcentral.